GGAAGGAGGGUUUUACAUGAAGAAAAGAGCUUUUGUUUGCUAGCCAAGGAUGACUUGCCUGCUAUGCCACCCUGAUUUUGUGGGUUCUAGUCUACAAUUUUGUGGCAUCCAGGCAGUCUCCUUGUCUAUCCAGACAGGCCCUUUUUUUUCAUGCUAGACCUUUCCAUCC
Molecule: microRNA precursor, 169 nt
Filed under: Linum usitatissimum (flax)
Lineage: Eukaryota; Viridiplantae; Streptophyta; Magnoliopsida; Malpighiales; Linaceae
Source: RNAcentral